RNAcentral lists this ribosomal RNA (253 nucleotides) under uncultured bacterium. RNAcentral's name for it is "partial 16S ribosomal RNA". It matches the Rfam family "Bacterial small subunit ribosomal RNA", at positions 524 to 776 of the family's 1533-position model. The record is from RNAcentral.
AACGUAGGAGCCAAGCGUUAUCCGAAUUCACUGGGCGUAAAGCGCAUGUAGGCGGCGGAGUAAGUUGGCUGUAAAAGCUCCUGGCUCAACUGGGAGAAGCCGGUCAAAACUACUCGGCUAGAGGACGGUAGAGGAAGGCGGAAUUCCGGGUGUAGUGGUGAAAUGCGUAGAUAUCCGGAGGAACACCUGUGGCGAAGGCGGCUUUCUGGGCCGUACCUGACGCUGAGAUGCGAAAGCUAGGGGAGCGAACGGG